UACGUAGGGGGCGAGCGUUGUCCGGAUUUAUUGGGCGUAAAGAGCUCGUAGGCGGUCUGUCGCGUCGGAUGUGAAAAUCCAGGGCUCAACCCUGGACCUGCAUUCGAUGCGGGCAGACUAGAGUUCGGUAGGGGAGACUGGAAUUCCUGGUGUAGCGGUGAAAUGCGCAGAUAUCAGGAGGAACACCGGUGGCGAAGGCGGGUCUCUGGGCCGAAACUGACGCUGAGGAGCGAAAGCGUGGGGAGCAAACAGG
Molecule: ribosomal RNA, 253 nt
Filed under: uncultured bacterium
Lineage: Bacteria
Description: partial 16S ribosomal RNA
Rfam family: Bacterial small subunit ribosomal RNA
Source: RNAcentral